RNAcentral lists this ribosomal RNA (452 nucleotides) under uncultured bacterium. RNAcentral's name for it is "bacterial SSU rRNA". It matches the Rfam family "Bacterial small subunit ribosomal RNA", at positions 1052 to 1504 of the family's 1533-position model. The record is from RNAcentral.
UCGUCAGCUCGUGUCGUGAGAUGUUGGGUUAAGUCCCGCAACGAGCGCAACCCUUGCCUUUAGUUGCCAGCAUUAAGUUGGGCACUCUAGAGGGACUGCCGAGGAUAACUCGGAGGAAGGUGGGGAUGACGUCAAAUCAUCAUGCCCCUUAUGCUUAGGGCUACACACGUGCUACAAUGGGUGGUACAGAGGGUUGCCAAACCGUGAGGUGGAGCUAAUCCCUUAAAGCCAUUCUCAGUUCGGAUUGUAGGCUGAAACUCGCCUACAUGAAGCUGGAGUUACUAGUAAUCGCAGAUCAGAAUGCUGCGGUGAAUGCGUUCCCGGGUCUUGUACACACCGCCCGUCACACCAUGGGAGUUGGGGGCGCCCGAAGCCGGUUAGCUAACCUUUUAGGAGGCAACCGUCGAAGGUGAAACCAAUGACUGGGGUGAAGUCGUAACAAGGUAACCGUA